RNAcentral lists this ribosomal RNA (596 nucleotides) under Xylobolus subpileatus. Its description in RNAcentral is "eukaryotic LSU rRNA". The stretch from base 204 to 357 matches the Rfam family "5.8S ribosomal RNA". The record is from RNAcentral. Lineage: Eukaryota; Fungi; Basidiomycota; Agaricomycetes; Russulales; Stereaceae.
CCNUAAGACAUUAANGAAAUUCUGACUGAGGCGNAAGCUGGUCCCUAGCCGGACAUGUGCACGUCUCUUUCAAAAUCCACAAACACCUGUGCACCUUUGCGUGAGUCCACUGGGGUUGUACCCGAGGGGGCUUGCGUCCUUUUCACAAACUCUUGUAUGUCUUUAAGAAUGUCUAUCUUGAUGUAAUAAAACGCAUCUAAUACAACUUUCAACAACGGAUCUCUUGGCUCUCGCAUCGAUGAAGAACGCAGCGAAAUGCGAUAAGUAAUGUGAAUUGCAGAAUUCAGUGAAUCAUCGAAUCUUUGAACGCACCUUGCGCCCUUUGGUAUUCCGAAGGGCACACCUGUUUGAGUGUCGUGAAAUUCUCAACCCUCCUCACUUUUGUUGAUGGUAGUGGCUUGGACUUGGAGGCUUUGCCGGCUCUGUUCGGCUCCUCUCAAAUGCAUUAGUGGUGUCUCGUUGCGACCUACCCUCGGUGUGAUAAUUAUCUACGCUGUGGGCGUGCUCGCUUCUUGUGGGACGUGCUUCAAACGGUCUGAAAGGACAAAUCAUCGAAACUUGACCUCAAAUCAGGUGGGACUACCCGCUGAACUUAA